GAUGAACGCUAGCUACAGGCUUAACACAUGCAAGUCGAGGGGAAACGAUAGAGAAAGCUUGCUUUUUCUAGGCGUCGACCGGCGCACGGGUGAGUAACGCGUAUCCAACCUGCCCAUCACUUGGGGGAUAACCUUGCGAAAGUAAGACUAAUACCCAAUGAUAUCUCUAGAAGACAUCUGAAAGAGAUUAAAGAUUUAUCGGUGAUGGAUGGGGAUGCGUCUGAUUAGCUUGUUGACGGGGUAACGGCCCACCAAGGCGACGAUCAGUAGGGGUUCUGAGAGGAAGGUCCCCCACAUUGGAACUGAGACACGGUCCAAAACUCCUACGGGAGGCAGCAGUGAGGAAUAUUGGUCAAUGGACGAGAGUCUGAACCAGCCAAGUAGCGUGCAGGAUGACGGCCCUAUGGGUUGUAAACUGCUUUUAUAAGGGAAUAAAGUGAGUCUCGUGAGGCUUUUUGCAUGUACCUUAUGAAUAAGGACCGGCUAAUUCCGUGCCAGCAGCCG
Molecule: ribosomal RNA, 504 nt
Filed under: uncultured bacterium
Lineage: Bacteria
Description: bacterial SSU rRNA
Rfam family: Bacterial small subunit ribosomal RNA
Source: RNAcentral